This 100-nucleotide ribosomal RNA is filed under the name uncultured bacterium. Its description in RNAcentral is "partial 16S ribosomal RNA". It matches the Rfam family "Bacterial small subunit ribosomal RNA", at positions 1367 to 1482 of the family's 1533-position model. The record is from RNAcentral.
UACGUUCCCGGGCCUCGUACACACCGCCCGUCACACCACGAAAGUUGAUUGCACCAGAAGUCGCUCUCGGGCGCCCAAGGUGCGGUCGAUGAUUGGGGUG